RNAcentral lists this transfer RNA (428 nucleotides) under uncultured bacterium. Its description in RNAcentral is "16S-23S ribosomal RNA intergenic spacer". The stretch from base 68 to 140 matches the Rfam family "tRNA". The record is from RNAcentral.
CUAAGGAAUAAUACGGAAACUGCACAUAUCGAAACAUUAUUCAGUUUUGAGAGAUCUAUCUCAAAAUGGGGCCUUAGCUUAGUUGGGAGAGCGCCUGCUUUGCACGCAGGAGGUCAGCGGUUCGAUCCCGCUAGGCUCCAUAGGAUACAUCCUAACAACAAUUAAGAAAUUGAAGUUGAACACGCAACUAACUUCUUAGUAAAAUAGAGUAUCUUCCUAGUGUGCAAGCACACGAUGUCAGAUACCUAAUUUUCUACAGAAGUUUCGCAAAAGUGAACGUUGCGUAGUAUCCUAGUGAUAGUCCAUUGAAAAUUGAAUAUCUAUAUCAAAAUCCACGAUUAUCGUAAGAUAAUUGUAGAAAAGUAACAAGAAAAUAAACCGAAACGCUGUAAGUAUUUAAUGAGUUUAGAUCGCAAGAUCAAAAAUAA